Molecule: long non-coding RNA, 991 nt
Organism: Acanthaster planci (crown-of-thorns starfish)
Lineage: Eukaryota; Metazoa; Echinodermata; Asteroidea; Valvatida; Acanthasteridae
Source: RefSeq, a predicted model, not a curated record
AAUAAUGAUGUUAUUCAAAUUAAAAUUAUCAUUCGUUUUCUCUAGUAAAACUUAAACCCUAACCUGUAAGAAAAUAAUAACCAAAACAACUGUUGAGGAGUGAUGCUGAAUGCUUAAAAGAACAUGUGAUUGACGCCAGAUAAUCAGAGCUUCAACCACGGGUAGCAAUACCGGAUCUGGAAUGGAUGAAUUUAAUGUGGAGCUGUUUAAUGGAAGUGAACUCGAGCGUGGUGGAGAAAAAGUAAUGUGGCCUGGGGGAACCGGACUAGGGCACAAUGGGAGCAGUGUGUGCAUGGGCUAGAGGUUCAGUCUUCUUACCCUACAUUCUCAGUUUGAUUAUGAAGGCCAAGGGUCAGGGUAGGAGUCUUGACAUACCGACAUGUCACCAGUUAGCAACUCUGCACAGCCUCAACUUAUUCUGUAUCUGUGCCAAACACAUACAUCAUUUCCAACAAUGUUGGAGACCCCAGGAACAUUGUGAAGGCACAAAGUCAUCCAUCAACAUCCAAAAUAUCGCUGGGUCGCCUGAUCCCAACCUAAAAUCCUCUUACAAAUAUAUGGAGGAACAAAAGUAGCAAACACAGUAAACAUAAUCUGGAGCUAUUGUGAGAAAACGAUAACCCCCAAAUAUGUAUCUCUGCAAGGCCCUGUAAUGCAGCCUUUGGCAAGAUAAAUGUGACUGAAACUACGAAACCAUUCAGUCUGACCAUAAAAGAUAUUGGGGAAAAAUCGGGGACAGAACAUGAGUCAAGACUUUGAGGGGAUAAUGUUCCUCCGACAAUAAAUACUUGAACAGUAGCAUAACGGAAUGCUGUGAACUGGGGAAUUAAAUUUUGCAGAAAAUAUUUUUUUGGCAAAGGUCAUGGCACUUAAGGCCGAACCUGGAACAAAUGGAGAGUGUGUCCUAUCAGGUAACACCUAAAUUUAUUCAGAUUAAAUAUUUGAGUGUUUUAAGUUUAAAAACCAGAAAAAUUAAAAUAGGCCUAUUCAU